Molecule: ribosomal RNA, 253 nt
Filed under: uncultured prokaryote
Description: partial 16S ribosomal RNA
Rfam family: Bacterial small subunit ribosomal RNA
Source: RNAcentral
AACGUAGGACGCAAGCGUUAUCCGGAGUGACUGGGCGUAAAGGGCGUGCAGGCGGCGGCUCAAGUGGCUCGUGAAAGACCCCGGCUCAACCGGGGGGGGUCGGGUCAGACUGAGGCGCUAGAGGCAGUCAGAGGGACACGGAAUUCCGGGUGUAGUGGUGAAAUGCGUAGAGAUCCGGAGGAACACCAGUGGCGCAGGCGGUGUCCUGGGGCUGCACUGACGCUGAGACGCGAAAGCAUGGGGAGCGAACGGG